Molecule: long non-coding RNA, 957 nt
Filed under: Macaca mulatta (Rhesus monkey)
Lineage: Eukaryota; Metazoa; Chordata; Mammalia; Primates; Cercopithecidae
Description: lncRNA (ENSMMUG00000053530.1)
Source: RNAcentral
GGUGAAGUUGUGGGACCCCAAACACUUCUCACCAGACUGUAUCUUCACCUCUAUCUGACCUUAGUGGGCUCACACUUUAUGUACCUUAUACAAUCUCAAGACGAUGGAGUAGUGCCCCCUCACAACAUGAACGACCUGCUUGACUGGGAAAAAAAAAAGUUGAGGUGAAUUUGGGGAACCACAUCCACUCCUCACCAGAUUGUACCAUCAUCCCUAUUGACCUUAUUGCUGUUCACAUUCUAUAUCCAAAUGUGAAAUACUAAGACAAUAGAGGAUUACUUCCUCAUGAUGUGAAGCACCUGCUAGGCUGGGAACUGAAUUUGAGGAAUCAUGUAGCCCUCUGACAGAAGUGGGAGAACUAUUAUUUCCUUGUUGUCAGCUGUAACAGGAAUUUACGUUCAAAAAUCAAAGAUGCCUAGUCAUUAAAAUGUGACAGUGUAUAGGAGGAAACACUCACAAAAUGGAUACAGAUGAAAGUUCUCUGAGAACUGGGAAACAUUUAGCAAGGAAAUCUUUGAGUCAGACCCAGGAAACUCUAGGACAAGGAGGAACAUGGAAGUCAACAAAAGAAGAGGAAAGUGUCGUAGCUACCACCCAGCAUCAAUCUAUUCCACUGCAAUUUGGCUCCAGGUGAAGUUAUGGGACCCCAUUCAUCACUCUGACUUUAUUGCUGCUUAAAAACCAAAUUCAAGGUAAAUUUGACUUGUCAUGGAGACAGGACUUUUAGUGUCUUUUUCUGGGUUGGCCUCAGGACAAUUAAACACUAGCAGAUAUUCGUUUCUUUUUGUCGUGGUCUCUCCUUUUUUCUAGAAGAGUGGUUUUUUGUUGUUGUUGUUGUUGUUGUUGUUUUGGCAGAAGGAAGUGAUUUGGACAUUGAGAAUCUUGGCCUGCCUCCUAAUUCAAUGUGGAUUCAUGAUCCACAGAAAUCUAAAGAACAAGGGGCCCCACAGCCCAAGC